This 1332-nucleotide small RNA is filed under the name Arabidopsis thaliana (thale cress). RNAcentral describes it as "ATSL281000". Lineage: Eukaryota; Viridiplantae; Streptophyta; Magnoliopsida; Brassicales; Brassicaceae. The record is from RNAcentral.
AUAGAUUUAAGAAAAAUUAUUUCUAAUGCCCUUUCCAUGAUGCCCCUUUUCAACUCUACCCUUUUUUUUAGUCAAUUUUAUUUCUACCCUCUUUAAAUUUUUAAUGACCAUUUUACCCUAUUUGAAAAUUGUUUUAGGUUAACAAAAUGAAAUAUUAAUAUUUUUUUGCCUAAAAUAUUCGAAAAUAAAUUUUCCGUCAAAAGUUUCCCGCCAAACUUUGUUUUCCAAUAUUAUUUUUCCCGCAAAAAAAAUAUUUUGGCGGGAAAAAAAUUUACAAGGUAUUUUAAAAGGGUUUUAAAAGAUUUAUAAGGGAUUUUAAAAGGGUUUGAAAAUAAUUACAAGGGAUUUUAAAAGGGUUUUAAAUAUUUACAAAUGAUUUUAAAAUAUUUACAAUGAAUUUUAAAAGGGUUUUAAGAGAUUUACAAGGGAUUUUAAAGGGAUUUAAAAGAUUUACAAAGGUUUUCUAAAGGGUUUAAAAUUGUUUUAAAAGGGUUUUAAAAUUGUUUUUAAAGGGUUUUAAAAUAUUUACAAGGGAUUUUUAAAGGGUUUUAAAAGAUUUACAAGGGAUUUUAAAAGGGUUUUAAAAGAUUUAAAAGGGAUUUGAAAGGAAUUUAAAAUAUUUACAAAGGUUUUUAAAAGAUUUUUAAAGGAUUUAAAAUUGUUUGAAAAGGGUGUUAAAAUAUUUACAAGGGAUUUCAAAAGGGUUUUAAAAGAUUUAGAAGGGAAUUUAAAAGGGGUAUAAAAUAUUUACAAGGGAUUUUAAAGGGCUUUAAAAGAUUUACAAAGGUUUUUUAAAGAUUUUUAAAGGGUUUAAAAGUAUUUUAAAAGAUUUACAAGAGAUUUUAAAAGGGUUUUAAAAAAUUUUACAAGGAAUUUUAAAAGGGUUUAAAAGAUUUACAAGGGAUUUUAAAAGGUUUUUAAAAUAUUUACAAGUGAUUUGAAAGGGUUUUAAAAGAUUUACAAAGGUUUUUUAAAGAUUUUUAAAGUGUUUAAAAGUGUUUUAAAAGAUUUACAAAGGAUUUUAAAAAAGUUUUAAAAGAUUUACAAGAGACUUUUAAAGGUUUUAAAAGAUGUACAAGGGUUUUUAAAAGAUUUUUCAAGGAUUUACAAGAAGACCCUUUAAAAACUGUUGUAAAUCUUUUUAAAACCUUUUAAAAUCCCUUGUAAAUAUUUUAAAACCCUUUUAAAAUCCCUUGUAAAUAUUUUAAAACCCUUUUAAAAUUCUUUUAAAAUCCGUUGUAAAUCUAUUUCCUGACAAAAAAAAUUUACAAGGAUUUUUAAAAGCAUUUGUUUUGGCUGAGGAAAAUUUUGUUAAAAAAAAAAAAAUGGCGG